AAGACCUUUGCACUUUUGGAGCGGCCGAUGUCUGAUUAGCUAGUUGGUGGGGUAAUGGCCUACCAAAGCUUCGAUCAGUAGCUGGUCUGAGAGGACGGCCAGCCACACUGGGACUGAGACACGGCCCAGACUCCUACGGGAGGCAGCAGUGGGGAAUUUUGGACAAUGGGCGCAAGCCUGAUCCAGCCAUGCCGCGUGAGUGAAGAAGGCCUUCGGGUUGUAAAGCUCUUUCAGCCGGGAAGAAAAGGUUGCGACUAAUAAUCGCAAUCCAUGACGGUACCGAAAGAAGAAGCACCGGCUAACUACGUGCCAGCAGCCGCGGUAAUACGUAGGGUGCGAGCGUUAAUCGGAAUUACUGGGCGUAAAGGGUGCGCAGGCGGUUUUGUAAGUCAGAUGUGAAAUCCCCGGGCUUAACCUGGGAACU
Molecule: ribosomal RNA, 424 nt
Filed under: uncultured bacterium
Lineage: Bacteria
Description: bacterial SSU rRNA
Rfam family: Bacterial small subunit ribosomal RNA
Source: RNAcentral